This 429-nucleotide ribosomal RNA is filed under the name bacterium. RNAcentral's name for it is "partial 16S ribosomal RNA". It matches the Rfam family "Bacterial small subunit ribosomal RNA", at positions 355 to 776 of the family's 1533-position model. The record is from RNAcentral.
UAGGGAAUCUUCGGCAAUGGGGGCAACCCUGACCGAGCAACGCCGCGUGAGUGAAGAAGGUUUUCGGAUCGUAAAGCUCUGUUGUAAGAGAAGAACGUGUGUGAGAGUGGAAAGUUCACACAGUGACGGUAACUUACCAGAAAGGGACGGCUAACUACGUGCCAGCAGCCGCGGUAAUACGUAGGUCCCGAGCGUUGUCCGGAUUUAUUGGGCGUAAAGCGAGCGCAGGCGGUUUAAUAAGUCUGAAGUUAAAGGCAGUGGCUUAACCAUUGUUCGCUUUGGAAACUGUUAAACUUGAGUGCAGAAGGGGAGAGUGGAAUUCCAUGUGUAGCGGUGAAAUGCGUAGAUAUAUGGAGGAACACCGGUGGCGAAAGCGGCUCUCUGGUCUGUAACUGACGCUGAGGCUCGAAAGCGUGGGGAGCAAACAAG